This 376-nucleotide long non-coding RNA is filed under the name Homo sapiens (human). RNAcentral describes it as "HSALNT0249942". The record is from RNAcentral. Lineage: Eukaryota; Metazoa; Chordata; Mammalia; Primates; Hominidae.
CCUCCCCCUCCUGGGUUCAAGUGGUUCUCCUGCCUCAGCCUCUCGAGCAUCUGGGAUUACAGAUGGAGGAAGGAGGUCCCAAGCCAAGGAAUGCAGCAUGGGCCUCUAGAAGCUGGAAUGACCCUCACCUCACGGCCAGCAAGAAAUCAGGGAACUCAGUCUUACCCGAGUGAGCAGGAAAUCGAUUCUCCUCUGCAGCCUCUAUAGAGAACACAGCCUGUCAACACCCUGAUUUUGGCCCAAUGAGCCCUGUACCUCCAGAAGUGUAACGUAAUAAAUUUGUGUUGUUUUAAGCUAUUAAGCUGUGGUUAAUUUGUUAUGGCGCCAAGAGAAAACUAACAUGACACAUACUUCUCUAUAUAUUCUUCCCUUCUAG